Non-coding RNA from Gossypium arboreum, 107 nucleotides. Lineage: Eukaryota; Viridiplantae; Streptophyta; Magnoliopsida; Malvales; Malvaceae. The record is from Rfam.
AACCCAUGGUGAGGGAACCUUCUCAAUAAGUCCUUAUACCUAUCCUAUGCAUCAUAUAGGGUCUCUAAAUCUAUUGGCACAAAGGACAAGAUAUCAUUCCUCAACUU